RNAcentral lists this ribosomal RNA (430 nucleotides) under Pseudomonadota bacterium. RNAcentral describes it as "Proteobacteria bacterium partial 16S ribosomal RNA". It matches the Rfam family "Bacterial small subunit ribosomal RNA", at positions 355 to 776 of the family's 1533-position model. Lineage: Bacteria; Pseudomonadati; Pseudomonadota. The record is from RNAcentral.
UGGGGAAUAUUGGACAAUGGGGGGAACCCUGAUCCAGCCAUGCCGCGUGUGUGAAGAAGGCCUUAUGGUUGUAAAGCACUUUAAGCGAGGAGGAGGGUACUGGUAUUAAUACUACCAGGUACUGGACGUUACUCGCAGAAUAAGCACCGGCUAACUCUGUGCCAGCAGCCGCGGUAAUCGAGAGGGUGCGAGCGUUAAUCGGCUUUACUGGGCGUAAAGAGUGCGUAGGCGGCUAAUUGAGUCGGAUGUGAAAUCCCCGAGCUUAACUUGGGAAGUGAAUUCGAUACGGGUUAGCUAGAGUGUGGGAGAGGAUGGUAGAAUUCCAGGUGUAGCGGUGAAAUGCGUAGAGAUCUGGAGGAAUACCGAUGGCGAAGGCAGCCAUCUGGCCUAACACUGACGCUGAGGUACGAAAGCAUGGGGAGCAAACAGG